CCUACGGGUGGCAGCAGUGAGGAAUAUUGGUCAAUGGACGAAAGUCUGAACCAGCCAAGCCGCGUGAAGGAUGACUGCCCUAUGGGUUGUAAACUUCUUUUAUAUGGGAAUAAAAUGUUCCACGUGUGGGAGUAUGUAGGUACCAGAUGAAUACGGAUCGGCUAACUCCGUGCCAGCAGCCGCGGUAAUACGGAGGAUCCGAGCGUUAUCCGGAUUUAUUGGGUGUAAAGGGAGUGUAGGUGGGUUGUUAAGUCAGGUGUGAAAGUUUGGGGCUCAACCGUAAAAUUGCAGUUGAAACUGGCAGUCUUGAGUACAGGAGAGGUGGGCGGAAUUCGUGGUGUAGCGGUGAAAUGCUUAGAUAUCGCGAAGAACACCGAUUGCGAAGGCAGCUCACUGGACUGCAACUGACGCUGAGGCACGAAAGUGUGGGUAUCAAACAGGAUUAGAUACCCGUGUAGUC
Molecule: ribosomal RNA, 460 nt
Filed under: uncultured bacterium
Lineage: Bacteria
Description: partial 16S ribosomal RNA
Rfam family: Bacterial small subunit ribosomal RNA
Source: RNAcentral